RNAcentral lists this ribosomal RNA (306 nucleotides) under uncultured bacterium. Its description in RNAcentral is "bacterial SSU rRNA". It matches the Rfam family "Bacterial small subunit ribosomal RNA", at positions 28 to 334 of the family's 1533-position model. The record is from RNAcentral.
GACGAACGCUGGCGGCGUGCUUAACACAUGCAAGUCGAACGGUGAAGAGGAGCUUGCUCCUUGGAUCAGUGGCGAACGGGUGAGUAACACGUGAGUAACCUGCCCCAAACUCUGGGAUAAGCACUGGAAACGGUGUCUAAUACCGGAUACGAGCUUCAGCCGCAUGGCUAGGAGUUGGAAAGAAUUUCGGUUUGGGAUGGACUCGCGGCCUAUCAGCUAGUUGGUGAGGUAAUGGCUCACCAAGGCGACGACGGGUAGCCGGCCUGAGAGGGUGACCGGCCACACUGGGACUGAGACACGGCCCAG